RNAcentral lists this transfer RNA (72 nucleotides) under Hyella patelloides LEGE 07179. RNAcentral describes it as "Hyella sp. LEGE 07179 tRNA". It matches the Rfam family "tRNA". From Rfam's summary of the family: Transfer RNA (tRNA) molecules are approximately 80 nucleotides in length. Their secondary structure includes four short double-helical elements and three loops (D, anti-codon, and T loops). The record is from Rfam by way of RNAcentral. Lineage: Bacteria; Bacillati; Cyanobacteriota; Cyanophyceae; Pleurocapsales; Pleurocapsaceae. RNAcentral also lists the same sequence under 1 other name.
GCCCUUGUAGCUCAGUGGUAGAGCGCACCCUUGGUAAGGGUGAGGUCGUCGGAUCAUUCCCGAUCAAGGGCU